ACCGGCCUGCGAAGCAGGUGGCGUGAAUACCGCAGGUUGAACCAAUACUCUUUGAACAGGGUCCUGGCUCGUAUAAAUGGCUCGGUGUGCUAUGUCCGCCAGUCCGGAAAGCCUAAAGAGCCACGGCUAGGGCCCACCGCUUAUUAGCGGGUUCACCUGCGCCUCACGGCACGGCCAAGUGGGUCGGUC
This 189-nucleotide non-coding RNA is filed under the name Granulicella sp. 5B5. RNAcentral describes it as "6S / SsrS RNA". It matches the Rfam family "6S / SsrS RNA". Rfam says of the family: E. coli 6S RNA was the first non coding RNA to be sequenced, but its function was unknown until recently. It consists of 184 nucleotides that fold into an extended hairpin structure with a large single-stranded internal bulge. The 6S RNA specifically associates with RNA polymerase holoenzyme containing the sigma70 specificity factor. Lineage: Bacteria; Pseudomonadati; Acidobacteriota; Terriglobia; Terriglobales; Acidobacteriaceae. The record is from Rfam by way of RNAcentral.